AUUGAACGCUGGCGGCAGGCUUAACACAUGCAAGUCGAGCGAGGGGCGGACGGGUGAGUAAUGUCUGGGAAACUGCCUGAUGGAGGGGGAUAACUACGGGAAAGGGUAGCUAAUACCGCAUACUAUCAGAUGUGCCCAUAUGGGAUUAGAUAGUAGGUGGUGUAAUGGCUCACCUAGGCGACGAUCCCUAGCUGGUCUGAGAGGAUGACCAGCCACACUGGAACGGAGACACGGCCCAGACUCCUACGGGAGGCAGCAGUGGGGAAUAGUGCACAAUGGGCGCAAGCCUGAUGCAGCCAUGCCGCGUGUGGGAAGAAGGCCUUCGGGUUGUAAAGCACGUUCAGCGGGGAGGCGGUACUGGCAGAAGAAGCACCGGCUAACUCCGUGCCAGCCGCCGCGGUAAUAC
This 406-nucleotide ribosomal RNA is filed under the name uncultured bacterium. RNAcentral describes it as "partial 16S ribosomal RNA". It matches the Rfam family "Bacterial small subunit ribosomal RNA", at positions 29 to 526 of the family's 1533-position model. The record is from RNAcentral.